GGCCUAACACAUGCAAGUCGAGCGGAAACGACACUAACAAUCCUUCGGGUGCGUUAAUGGGCGUCGAGCGGCGGACGGGUGAGUAAUGCCUAGGAAAUUGCCUUGAUGUGGGGGAUAACCAUUGGAAACGAUGGCUAAUACCGCAUGAUGCCUACGGGCCAAAGAGGGGGACCUUCGGGCCUCUCGCGUCAAGAUAUGCCUAGGUGGGAUUAGCUAGUUGGUGAGGUAAUGGCUCACCAAGGCGACGAUCCCUAGCUGGUCUGAGAGGAUGAUCAGCCACACUGGAACUGAGACACGGUCCAGACUCCUACGGGAGGCAGCAGUGGGGAAUAUUGCACAAUGGGCGAAAGCCUGAUGCAGCCAUGCCGCGUGUAUGAAGAAGGCCUUCGGGUUGUAAAGUACUUUCAGUUGUGAGGAAGGGUGUGUAGUUAAUAGCUGCGCAUCUUGACGUUAGCAACAGAAGAAGCACCGGCUAACUCCGUGCCAGCAGCCGCGGUAAUACGGAGGGUGCGAGCGUUAAUCGGAAUUACUGGGCGUAAAGCGCAUGCAGGUGGUUCAUUAAGUCAGAUGUGAAAGCCCGGGGCUCAACCUCGGAACUGCAUUUGAAACUGGUGAACUAGAGUGCUGUAGAGGGGGGUAGAAUUUCAGGUGUAGCGGUGAAAUGCGUAGAGAUCUGAAGGAAUACCAGUGGCGAAGGCGGCCCCCUGGUCAGAUACUGACACUCAGAUGCGAAAGCGUGGGGAGCAAACAGGAUUUAGAUACCCUG
This 766-nucleotide ribosomal RNA is filed under the name Vibrio sp. FCH-43. RNAcentral describes it as "bacterial SSU rRNA". It matches the Rfam family "Bacterial small subunit ribosomal RNA", at positions 45 to 789 of the family's 1533-position model. The record is from RNAcentral. Lineage: Bacteria; Pseudomonadati; Pseudomonadota; Gammaproteobacteria; Vibrionales; Vibrionaceae.